Molecule: ribosomal RNA, 253 nt
Filed under: uncultured bacterium
Lineage: Bacteria
Description: partial 16S ribosomal RNA
Rfam family: Bacterial small subunit ribosomal RNA
Source: RNAcentral
UACAGAGGUCUCAAGCGUUGUUCGGAUUCAUUGGGCGUAAAGGGUGCGUAGGCGGCGCGGUAAGUCGGGUGUGAAAUCUCGGAGCUUAACUCCGAAACUGCAUUCGAUACUGCCGUGCUUGAGGACUGGAGAGGAGACUGGAAUUUACGGUGUAGCAGUGAAAUGCGUAGAGAUCGUAAGGAAGGCCAGUGGCGAAGGCGAGUCUCUGGACAGUUACUGACGCUGAGGCACGAAGGCCAGGGGAGCAAACGGG